Molecule: RNase P RNA, 209 nt
Filed under: Haemophilus influenzae
Lineage: Bacteria; Pseudomonadati; Pseudomonadota; Gammaproteobacteria; Pasteurellales; Pasteurellaceae
Description: partial RNase P RNA component class A
Rfam family: Bacterial RNase P class A
About the family: Ribonuclease P (RNase P) is a ubiquitous endoribonuclease, found in archaea, bacteria and eukarya as well as chloroplasts and mitochondria. Its best characterised activity is the generation of mature 5'-ends of tRNAs by cleaving the 5'-leader elements of precursor-tRNAs.
Source: RNAcentral
ACAGGCAAGGGUGAAAAGGUGCGGUAAGGGCGCACCGCGCAUUUGGUAACAAUAUGCGGCAGGCCAAACCCCAUUCGGAGCAAGACCAAACAGAACGCAAUGACGCUGCCCGCCGAGCGUUCGGGUAGGUUGCUUGAGCAUACUGGUAACGGUAUGCCUAGAGGAAUGACUGUCCGAGACAGAACCCGGCUUACCGCCUGUCCGGUGUG